This 330-nucleotide ribosomal RNA is filed under the name Triticum aestivum (bread wheat). RNAcentral describes it as "partial small subunit ribosomal RNA". Lineage: Eukaryota; Viridiplantae; Streptophyta; Magnoliopsida; Poales; Poaceae. The record is from RNAcentral.
AUGGGGACGGUGAGGCAACUCGAAGAGCGGCGGCACACGCAGUGCGGGGGAGGCAGAGAUGACCACAGCUGGUGUGCAGGAGCCGAGCCGUCGGAAGUAGAGUCAAGCAGCUGGAGAGGCAGGCAAAUCAAACCCGAUGCUGCCGGCAACGUUGUCUACGCUGCUCUGAAGAUCAGCUUGGCCCUGAAGAAAUUAUCUGAGUAUGGUGUGGUUAAGCAUGAAGAUCUGUUCAUCGCCUCCAAGCUAUGGUUCUGUGAUCAUGCACCUGAAGACGUGCCAGAGGCAAUUGUCGCCACCCUUGAAGAGCUUUUACAGCAACUUCUGUGUUGA